Molecule: ribosomal RNA, 459 nt
Filed under: uncultured bacterium
Lineage: Bacteria
Description: partial 16S ribosomal RNA
Rfam family: Bacterial small subunit ribosomal RNA
Source: RNAcentral
CCUACGGGAGGCAGCAGUGAGGAAUAUUGGUCAAUGGCCGGAAGGCUGAACCAGCCAAGCCGCGUGAAGGACGAAGGUGCCAAGCAUUGUAAACUUCUUUUGUCAAGGGACAAAAUCAGGCUCGAGAGCCUGACCGAGGGUACUUGAAGAAAAAGCAUCGGCUAACUCCGUGCCAGCAGCCGCGGUAAUACGGAGGAUGAGAGCGUGAUCCGGAUUUUUGGGGUUUAAAGGGGGCGUAGGGGGACUGUUUAGUCAGCGGUAAAAGCGCGGGGCUCAACCCCGGCGAGCCGUUGAAACUGGCUGUCGUGAGAUGUCGAGAGGUAUGCGGAAUGCGCAGUGUAGCGGUGAAAUGCUUAGAUAUUGCGCAGAACUCCGAUUGCGAAGGCAGCAUACCGGCGGCGAUCUGACGCUGAGGCACGAAAGUGUGGGGAGCAAACAGGAUUAGAUACCCUUGUAGUC